RNAcentral lists this ribosomal RNA (306 nucleotides) under Triticum aestivum (bread wheat). RNAcentral's name for it is "partial small subunit ribosomal RNA". Lineage: Eukaryota; Viridiplantae; Streptophyta; Magnoliopsida; Poales; Poaceae. The record is from RNAcentral.
AUGGCCAGUGAUGGGUCCGCCACUGCCGCACUGUCUCUGAACUUUGUGGAGACGUGGAAGGAGAGCGGUGGCGCCGUGAGGACCUCGGCGUCUGCUGCCGCGACCACGAGCAUGACCAUUGCGUCCAAGACAAGGAACAUGACACAGUAUUUUUCUGGAUUACCAGAAGACAAGGACCAGGACCACAGCAAACAUCCUGAGUUGGAAGACAAAAGUAUUAAUGCAACCGUGGAAGGGGUGGAAGGGAAAAUAUUUGACGAUGGUUUUUUCUCCCAACCUGGCAAGGUAUUUUACUACCUAUAUUAA